ACUCCUGCGGGAGGCAGCAGUGGGGAAUUUUGGACAAUGGGGGCAACCCUGAUCCAGCAAUGCCGCGUGAGUGAAGAAGGCCUUCGGGUUGUAAAGCUCUUUUGUCAGGGAAGAAACGGUGGUGGCGAAUAACUACUACUAAUGACGGUACCUGAAGAAUAAGCACCGGCUAACUACGUGCCAGCAGCCGCGGUAUACGUAGGGUGCAAGCGUUAAUCGGAAUUACUGGGCGUAAAGCGUGCGCAGGCGGUUGUGUAAGUCAGAUGUGAAAUCCCCGGGCUCAACCUGGGAAUUGCAUUUGAGACUGCACGGCUAGAGUGUGUCAGAGGGGGGUAGAAUUCCACGUGUAGCAGUGAAAUGCGUAGAUAUGUGGAGGAAUACCGAUGGCGAAGGCAGCCCCCUGGGAUAACACUGACGCUCAUGCACGAAAGCGUGGGGAGCAAACAGGAUUAGAUACCCUGGUAGUCCCA
RNAcentral lists this ribosomal RNA (470 nucleotides) under uncultured organism. RNAcentral describes it as "partial 16S ribosomal RNA". It matches the Rfam family "Bacterial small subunit ribosomal RNA", at positions 335 to 797 of the family's 1533-position model. The record is from RNAcentral.